CCCCUGUUGAAAAGAUUCCAGGAAGCGCUCACAGGCAUGUGAGAUGAGGGCAAUCUAAGUUUCCUUCUUGUUCAGCUCCCUGUCUCGAUACCGUUGUUCCCUGUUUUCUGGCUCUCCACCGGCAGAAUCCUUCGAUGUUGAGCAACCUUCUGGCUUGCAGAAAAACUAAGUGCAUACUUGCCUAGAUUCCAAAACCAAGAUGACAUAUACUUCCAAUCGAACAGAUGUGGUCAGCCGUUGAUUGGGCCCAGAGGAGAAGAAAUUAAACACAUCCAAAACAACAGUGAGUAGGAAACAGGGGUAAGCAAAGAGCCUCCGGGUGGCAGCAGCGCUGGCGGCGGCUCCCGCGUCAGAGAGAACCCUACAAAAUGGCGACGGCCGCUCAAACCUCGGCGCGACCUGAAUUGUGGCCAUGGUGCUGCUGCUGCUGCUGCUGCUAAGUCACUUCAGUCGUGUCCAACUCUGUGCGACCCCAGAGACGGCCGCCCACCAGGCUCCCCCUUCCCUGGGAUUCUCCAGGCAAGGACACUGGAGUGGAUUGCCAUUUCCUUCUCCAAUGCAUGAAAAUGAAAAGUGAAAGUGAAGUCGCUCAGUCAUGUCCGACUCUUAGAGACCUCAUGGACUGGCGCCUACCAGACUCCUCCAUCUAUGGGAUUCUCCAGGCAAGAGUACUGGAGUGGGGUGCCAUUGCCUUCUCCGGUGGCCAUGCCGGAGUACAGGGCGCUGUGAAGCUUCCCCACUGA
Molecule: long non-coding RNA, 743 nt
Filed under: Bos indicus x Bos taurus (hybrid cattle)
Lineage: Eukaryota; Metazoa; Chordata; Mammalia; Artiodactyla; Bovidae
Description: lncRNA (ENSBIXG00000002981.1)
Source: RNAcentral